CCCCACAAGGCGACGGACCCCAGCAAGGACCAUCCUCACAGGGUGAUGGACCUCAGCAAGGACCGCCCCCACAGGGCGACGGACCCCAGCAAGGACCAUCCUCACAGGGUGACGGACCCCAGCAGAGACCGCCCUCACAGGGUGACGGACCCCAGCAAGGACCGCCCCCACAGGGUGACGGACCCCAGCAGAGACCGCCCCCACAGGGUGACGGACCCCAGCAAGGACCGCCCCCACAAGGUGACGGACCCCAGCGGAGACCACCCCCACAAGGUGACGGACCCCAGCGGAGACCACCCCCACAAGGUGACGGACCCCAGCAGAGACCACCCCCACAAGGUGACGGACCCCAGCGGAGACCACCCCCUCCAAGAGGACAUCGUGUUCGCCGUUCUCCCCCACCUCCUCCUGGAGAACCCCAGGGACCACCGCCUCCAGGCCGGAGACCACAAAGACCUCCCCAAGGCCCACCUCCCCAGGGCCCACCACCCCAGUAAUCUGGAAUUCAAUGACAGGAAGAGGGGAUGGGCAGUCUCAUCAUGGCACAGCUGAAGUGAAUCUGACUAGGAACUAUGAGGUUGUGGGUUUGAUCCCUGACCUCACUCAGUGGGUUAAGGAUCCAGCAUUGCCAUGAGCUGUAGGUCACAGACGUGACUCAGAUCUGAUGUUGCUGUGGCUGUGGCGUAGGCCAGCAGCUAUAGCUCCGAUUGGACCCCUAUCCUGGGAAUCUCCAUGUCCUGAGAAUGUGACUCUAAAAAGCAAAAAAAAAGGGGGGGAUGAAGAGGGAAAAUUGGAGAAAAGUAGUCAAAAAUACAAACUUCCAGUUGAAGAUAAAUAAGUACUAGAGACGUAAUCUAAACAUAGUUAACCCUGCUAUAUGUAGAAAAGUUGUUAAAAGAGUAAAUCUUAAGGGUUCUCACUACAAAUGGCCACAAAGCAAGCCUCAGUAAACUGAAGAAAGCUGAAAUUGUACAAGACAUCUUUUCCAAGCACAAUGCUAUGAGACUAGAAAUCAACUACAAGGGAAAAUGUGCAAAAAACACAAACAUGUGGAGGCUACAUAAUAUGCUAUUAAACAACCAGUGGAUCACUGAAGAAAUCAAAGAGGAAAUAAAAAAUACCUAGAGACAAAUGAAAACA
Molecule: long non-coding RNA, 1140 nt
Filed under: Sus scrofa (pig)
Lineage: Eukaryota; Metazoa; Chordata; Mammalia; Artiodactyla; Suidae
Description: lncRNA (ENSSSCG00070014154.1)
Source: RNAcentral